Molecule: long non-coding RNA, 633 nt
Organism: Phycodurus eques (leafy seadragon)
Lineage: Eukaryota; Metazoa; Chordata; Actinopteri; Syngnathiformes; Syngnathidae
Exons: 3
Source: RefSeq, a predicted model, not a curated record
GCGAAGCAAUGGCCAGGCAACACUAUUUGAAACACUAUCACGAAACACCGUAGGUACGACACCGCGGCUCUCAUGUCGGAGUUAAAAGAAGCGUAGCAGUGAUGUCAAAAAGGAAGGAAAAGUGUGAUGUCGACCAAGAACCGGAAAGAAACUGAUUGCGACGUGGGAUACCUGCACACAUGCCUCUGUCCUGGCUGCUCAGUAGAAUAUAGCUAUAAAACUGCUUAAUACAAUUGUAUGACACUUAGGAAUGUUAAAAAGCACUGUGCAUAAAGUCUUGAGGUGACACGCCUUCAGUAAUCCUCCCUUUGCCACUAGCGUCUGUCACUCAUCAAAGGGAACAACGGCCAAGGACCAGUGCACUGCAUGGGAAGAUCAAAGAAAAGUGCACACAUGAAAAUGGGCAGAGAGUUAAUAUGGCAUCAGGGAUGGCCAAACGAGUGGAAGACCAGGUUGGUCUCAGUGUGCACCAACUGAGCCGCUGUCAACAUAGGAAUAUACAAGGGUUUACAUCGAGGUUUCCCAUCCGCAUAUUUUUGUGUACCACCCACACCAAGGAGAACUGCGCCAAGUCAGCUGAUCAUGUGGUCCCGUACUGUGAGUCACUUAAGCAACUGUCCAAGUCACUGGGCU